CUUAACACAUGCAAGUCGAACGGAAGGUUCCUUCGGGAACCGGCGAGUGGCGCACGGGUGAGUAACGCGUGGGGAUCUGCCUCGAAGUGGGGAAUAACCGCUGGAAACGGCGGCAAUACCGCAUACGCCCUCAGGGGGAAAGGCUUUAUUGCGCUUCGAGAUGAACCCGCGUCGGAUUAGCUAGUUGGUGAGGUAAAGGACUCACCAAGGCGACGAUCCGUAGCUGGUCUGAGAGGAUGAUCAGCCACACUGGGACUGAGACACGGCCCAGACUCC
RNAcentral lists this ribosomal RNA (276 nucleotides) under uncultured bacterium. RNAcentral describes it as "partial 16S ribosomal RNA". It matches the Rfam family "Bacterial small subunit ribosomal RNA", at positions 47 to 339 of the family's 1533-position model. The record is from RNAcentral.